Molecule: long non-coding RNA, 731 nt
Filed under: Salvia miltiorrhiza (redroot sage)
Lineage: Eukaryota; Viridiplantae; Streptophyta; Magnoliopsida; Lamiales; Lamiaceae
Description: long non-coding RNA (SMIL_LNC008183)
Source: RNAcentral
CUCAACACUUAAGUUAUAUGAUGCGUAGAUAUGGUACUACAUGUUAAUUGUCUGAGACGUAAUGAUGUAUGUGAUUAUAGAGAAUUUACAGUUUUCAUCACAGGUUAUUUAAAUAAAACUCUGUGUGAUGUUGAGAUGCAAGUUCAAUAUAUAGCUUUAAGAGCAAGCUUUAAAGUUAUUUCGGCAUGACCACUGAGUGCUUUUUGGUACUCAGCCCUGCAUAUGUUUCUAAAUAUGCAGGUUAAGCUGUGGUGCAGAUGGAAGCGAGCAGAGCAAAUUCUUUGAUGUAUAUGUAUUAAACCAGGCUCAGGAUUCCAUGUCUUCAUACAUGUAAUCCACAUGAAUUAUUCCGCUGCAACACUUAGUCUAUUCUACUUUAUCGAUGUGUUGUAUAUAUUUUAGAUCAAUAGCUUUGAGAAUUAUGUCACUUGAAAGUUAGACAACUUGUCGUUGUGUAUUGUAAGUUGUCUACUCAUGAGUUUUAAAAGUGAUUGCCUAUGAUUAUCCAAUAUUAAAGUAAUUCAUCGUUAAAGCGGGUUCAUUAUUAUUAUUGAAAUCUCUUUUCUUUUGCAUUUUCUUACUCCCUUUCCCAGUCACACCUUUCCCCGGCUUAACUAUACACUAGCUUAGGCCGGGCUGUGACAGAGUGGUAUCAGAGCAGGUCAUUUGCUCUGAGCCUAAAUAUUCCCUUGAGUCUAGUCUAAAUUUGAAUAUUUGGACUAGUAUGAGUA